AGGCCAGUAGCUCAAUUAGGUAGAGCACCUGUCUCCAAAACAGGGGGUUGUGGGUUCGAGUCCUGCCUGGCCUGCCU
RNAcentral lists this transfer RNA (77 nucleotides) under Anaerolinea thermophila UNI-1. RNAcentral's name for it is "tRNA-Trp". It matches the Rfam family "tRNA". Rfam says of the family: Transfer RNA (tRNA) molecules are approximately 80 nucleotides in length. Their secondary structure includes four short double-helical elements and three loops (D, anti-codon, and T loops). Lineage: Bacteria; Bacillati; Chloroflexota; Anaerolineae; Anaerolineales; Anaerolineaceae. The record is from RNAcentral.